CGUCCAUAUUGUAAGACGAAAAGUCCCCAUUGAGCUUUACUAAAGACUUAUAUGGCUCGAAUAACUUAAAUAAAAAGUUUAGAUAAUGUGGGAUCUGUUUUUGGUUAAUGAGACACCACUCUUUUAUUUUAAGAGAACUAACCUUAUAGGGAGAAUGUAAGUUAGAUAGUUUGGUUGGGGCGACCACCUUUUAAAAGGUAACGAAGGUGAGCUUAAGGUCCGUAGUUAAUAGCUAGAGGCCUGACUGCAAGGGGGACAUCCCGAGCAGACACAUCCUUAAGGAUGUGGGUUAUAGUGACCCGUCAUCUUAGA
Molecule: ribosomal RNA, 312 nt
Filed under: Exaiptasia diaphana
Lineage: Eukaryota; Metazoa; Cnidaria; Anthozoa; Actiniaria; Aiptasiidae
Description: partial 16S ribosomal RNA
Rfam family: Bacterial large subunit ribosomal RNA
Source: RNAcentral